UAGCUAGUUGGUAGGGUAAGGGCCUACCAAGGCGACGAUCGGUAGCUGGUCUGAGAGGAUGGCCAGCCACACUGGAACUGAGACACGGUCCAGACUCCUACGGGAGGCAGCAGUGGGGAAUAUUGGACAAUGGGGGCAACCCUGAUCCAGCAAUGCCGCGUGUGUGAAGAAGGCCUGAGGGUUGUAAAGCACUUUCAGUGGGGAGGAGGGUACUUAGGUUAAGAGCUAGAGUAUUGGACGUUACCCACAGAAGAAGCACCGGCUAACUCCGUGCCAGCAGCCGCGGUAAUACGGAGGGUGCGAGCGUUAAUCGGAAUAACCGGGCGUAAAGGGUGCGUAGGUGGUUGAUUAAGUUAUCUGUGAAGUCCCUGGGCUUAACCUGGGCAGGUCAGAUAAGACUGGACAACUCGAGUAUGGGAGAGGGUAGUGGAAUUUCCGGUGUAGCGGUGAAAUGCGUAGAGAUCGGAAGGAACACCAGUGGCGAAGGCGGCUACCUGGCCUAAUACUGACACUGAGGCACGAAAGCGUGGGGAGCAAACAGGAUUAGAUACCCUGGUAGUCCACGCCGUAAACGAUGUCAACUAGCUGUUGGUUAUAUGAAUAUAAUUAGUGGCGC
RNAcentral lists this ribosomal RNA (616 nucleotides) under uncultured Legionella sp. RNAcentral's name for it is "bacterial SSU rRNA". It matches the Rfam family "Bacterial small subunit ribosomal RNA", at positions 242 to 849 of the family's 1533-position model. The record is from RNAcentral. Lineage: Bacteria; Pseudomonadati; Pseudomonadota; Gammaproteobacteria; Legionellales; Legionellaceae.